RNAcentral lists this ribosomal RNA (407 nucleotides) under uncultured bacterium. RNAcentral describes it as "partial 16S ribosomal RNA". It matches the Rfam family "Bacterial small subunit ribosomal RNA", at positions 30 to 526 of the family's 1533-position model. The record is from RNAcentral.
AUUGAACGCUGGCGGCAGGCCUAACACAUGCAAGUCGAGCGGAGCGGCGGACGGGUGAGGAAUGCAUAGGAAUCUGACAGGGAGUGGGGGAUAACGUCCGGAAACGGGCGCUAAUACCGCAUACUAUCAGAAUAGCCUUGGUCGGAUUAGGUAGAUGGUGGGGUAAAGGUCCACCAAGGCGACGAUCCGUAACUGGUCUGAGAGGAUGAUCAGUCACACUGGAACUGAGACACGGUCCAGACUCCUACGGGAGGCAGCAGUGGGGAAUAUUGGACAAUGGGCUACAGCCUGAUCCAGCCGUGCCGCGUGUGUUAAGAAGGUCUUCGGGUUGUAAAGCACUUUAAGGUGGGAGGCGUUACCAGCAGAAUAAGCGCCGGCUAACUUCGUGCCAGCAGCCGCGGUAAUAC